CCUACGGGGGGCUGCAGUGGGGAAUAUUGGACAAUGGGGGGAACCCUGAUCCAGCCAUGCCGCGUGUGUGAAGAAGGCCCUCGGGUUGUAAAGCACUUUCAGUGAGGAAGAACGCCUGGUGGUUAAUACCCAUCAGGAAAGACAUCACUCACAGAAGAAGCACCGGCUAACUCCGUGCCAGCAGCCGCGGUAAUACGGAGGGUGCGAGCGUUAAUCGGAAUUACUGGGCGUAAAGCGCGCGUAGGUGGCUUGAUAAGCCGGUUGUGAAAGCCCCGGGCUCAACCUGGGAACGGCAUCCGGAACUGUCAAGCUAGAGCACAGGAGAGGAAGGCGAAAUUCACGGUGUAGCGCUGACAUGCGUAGAGAUCGGGAGGCAUACCAGUGGCGAAGGCGGCCUACUGGACUGACCCUACCACUGAGGUGCGAAAGCGUGGGUCGCAAACAGGAUUAGAUACCCCAGUAGUA
This 465-nucleotide ribosomal RNA is filed under the name Vreelandella stevensii. Its description in RNAcentral is "partial 16S ribosomal RNA". It matches the Rfam family "Bacterial small subunit ribosomal RNA", at positions 338 to 795 of the family's 1533-position model. Lineage: Bacteria; Pseudomonadati; Pseudomonadota; Gammaproteobacteria; Oceanospirillales; Halomonadaceae. The record is from RNAcentral.